AGAAUGGUACUUUAAAAAAAAGGAUUGGCUUGCAUCUAAUUACUGAGCCUACAGCUCUCAUUCUU
RNAcentral lists this transfer RNA (65 nucleotides) under Mytilus edulis (blue mussel). RNAcentral's name for it is "tRNA-Ala". Lineage: Eukaryota; Metazoa; Mollusca; Bivalvia; Mytilida; Mytilidae. RNAcentral also lists the same sequence under 1 other name. The record is from RNAcentral.